This 253-nucleotide ribosomal RNA is filed under the name uncultured bacterium. Its description in RNAcentral is "partial 16S ribosomal RNA". It matches the Rfam family "Bacterial small subunit ribosomal RNA", at positions 524 to 776 of the family's 1533-position model. The record is from RNAcentral.
UACGAAGGGGGCUAGCGUUGCUCGGAAUUACUGGGCGUAAAGCGCACGUAGGCGGCUUGUUAAGUCGGGGGUGAAAUCCUGGAGCUCAACUCCAGAACUGCCUUCGAUACUGGCGAUCUCGAGUUCGGGAGAGGUGAGUGGAACUGCGAGUGUAGAGGUGAAAUUCGUAGAUAUUCGCAAGAACACCAGUGGCGAAGGCGGCUCACUGGUCCGGUACUGACGCUGAGGUGCGAAAGCGUGGGGAGCAAACAGG